Molecule: ribosomal RNA, 403 nt
Filed under: uncultured bacterium
Lineage: Bacteria
Description: bacterial SSU rRNA
Rfam family: Bacterial small subunit ribosomal RNA
Source: RNAcentral
UCGGGAAUAUUGCGCAAUGGAGGAAACUCUGACGCAGUGACGCCGCGUAUAGGAAGAAGGUUUUCGGAUUGUAAACUAUUGUCGUUAGGGAAGAUACAAGACAGUACCUAAGGAGGAAGCUCCGGCUAACUACGUGCCAGCAGCCGCGGUAAUACGUAGGGAGCAAGCGUUAUCCGGAUUUAUUGGGUGUAAAGGGUGCGUAGACGGGACAACAAGUUAGUUGUGAAAUCCCUCGGCUUAACUGAGGAACUGCAACUAAAACUAUUGUUCUUGAGUGUUGGAGAGGAAAGUGGAAUUCCUAGUGUAGCGGUGAAAUGCGUAGAUAUUAGGAGGAACACCGGUGGCGAAGGCGACUUUCUGGACAAUAACUGACGUUGAGGCACGAAAGUGUGGGGAGCAAACA